CCUACGGGUGGCAGCAGUGGGGAAUAUUCGGCAAUGGGCGCAAGCCUGACCCAGCAACGCCGCGUGAAGGAAGAAGGCUUUCGGGUUGUAAACUUCUUUUGUCAGGGAAGAGUAGAAGACGGUACCUGACGAAUAAACCACGGCUAACUGCUUGCCAGCAGCCGCGGUAAUACGUAGGUGGCAAGCGUUGUCCGGAAUUACUGGGUGUAAAGGGCGUGUAGCCGGGUUGACAAGUCAGAUGGGAAAUCCUGCGGCUUAACCGGAGAUCUGCAUUUGAAACUGUUGAUCUUGAGUACUGGAGAGGCAGGCGGAAUUCCUAGUGUAGCGGUGAAAUGCGUAGAUAUUAGGAGGAACACCAGUGGCGAAGGCGGUCUGCUGGACAGCAACUGACGGUGAGGCGCGAAAGCGUGGGGAGCAAACAGGAUUAGAUACCCGUGUAGUC
RNAcentral lists this ribosomal RNA (442 nucleotides) under uncultured bacterium. Its description in RNAcentral is "partial 16S ribosomal RNA". It matches the Rfam family "Bacterial small subunit ribosomal RNA", at positions 338 to 795 of the family's 1533-position model. The record is from RNAcentral.